Pan troglodytes (chimpanzee) is the source of this 2759-nucleotide long non-coding RNA. Lineage: Eukaryota; Metazoa; Chordata; Mammalia; Primates; Hominidae. The record is from Ensembl.
GUCACUGAUCCAAAGGUAGUCAAGUUUGCACAGAGCAGGGGGACCCAACAAGCAAGCAAGCAAGCUUGGACACCAGGAGGACUGAGAAAAGACAGAACUGAGAGUAAAGGGGUGAGGCAGUGAAGUCCGUGUAAACUCUGAGCCGCUCAAGUGGCUGGAAGGUUGAGCAGCAGAUAGGAUGGCGUACCGACUGGCGGGCUGCUUUCAGAACCAACUCAGAGCCACUAAGGCAAUUCCGCAAACAUUCACUGAAUGCCUUACGGUAACGGUUGUCAAAUCAAGGCAAACUUCAAGAAGACAAGCCUGGCAACAAAGAUGUAUAAAGCAUACAACACAUAUAACACUGAUUCCUGGAGGAGAUGGGAAGGACACCCUUUUUCUUUCCAAACAUAGAGCCUCUCUUGUCACAGGGAGACUGAGGCUAUGGUCACUGCUUGUGGCCUGCCAGGAAGUCCUAGACAAAGAAUCGGUUUCAGGUAUAUUGCUUACCUUGGGCUCUACAGAUUCUGCAUAGUGAAUGGGGUAAAACACGAAGAUGCGUGGAUGAGCUUCCCUGCUAAAAAGGACCAGCCCUCCUUGAAAUGGAUUCCUUUCCAUUCCCACACUCUGCAAUAUUGUGAUUGAGUCAUGCAGCAAUUAAAGAGAAAAAUGUCACUAUUGUGCUUCCAAAUAUAUUAUUUAAUUUUCACAAAACAAAUCAAACUCUUGGUCUUGAAUGCUGAGAGAAGAAUAUAAAUGGAACCACAAAUCUCUAACAUUUCAUGUUAACGCAAUAGUUCAAUAAGAGAGAAGUUGAAUUUCCUUUCACAAAUGUUUAUUGAGCACCUACUAGCUUCAGGGCAUACACAAAAUAAAUACUACCUGGUCCUUGUCGUACACGAACUCAUGGUCUCUACUUUGAAUCACACUCUUUCGAAAUACAAUAUCUAUUGGAUCAAGAGAAAAGCUUUUAUAGUGAUUUUUACAAAGAAAUAAAGCAGAAGCAAUUAUACUUAAUUUAGGAAUACUGGAUAUUCACAGAUGAACACGUUUUCAAGCACACAAACCCCCAGAUUUUUGUCUCUAGUAGAGCCUAAAAGGAGUUCUACAGAUCAAGAAGAUGGGAUUUAUGCUCAGACAGGCCCAGAUUGAAAGCCUAGCUCAUCUCCUCACUAGUGGUGUGAUAUUUGGCAAGAUACGUAGCUUCUCAGUUUCCUCGUCUAUAACAUGGGACUCAUGGUACUGACCUCAUGGAGUUGCUGUAAGGAUAAAAUGAGAUCAUGCAUUUAGGCUGAGAGUUUGGCUGUUGUAGGUGCUCUACAAUUGCCCCUUUCCCUUUUUAACUGGGAUCAUUGAAAAGCAAGCAGUUAGAUGGUUGAAAAUGUGCAAUUGUUUGUGUCUUCCUUUUUAAAAAGGAGCUAAUACCAGCUCCAUGUUUUGGAACUGAUGCCUACAAUGUGUUUCAUGUCUUUCUGUCUUCAGAGAGAAUAACUCGUCAUUUGAUAGCGUAAUCCUCUGAUUCUCUGGGUCACACCAGCCUGAGGCAGAACAGCAAUAGCAAUAGCUCAGUGACAGAAGAGACACUGCCCCUGCUUGUAUUGAGGGAAACACUCAUCCUAAAAUCAUCCACGUGGUGCUGCAGUUUCUAAGUUUUAUCAUGAUGCAGUUCACCGAGUGCCUGUUGGGUGCUACUGAGGAUAAAGUGGCAAAAAAAAAAAAAAAAAAAAAAAAAAAAAAAAAAAAAAACCAUGCAGCCCUUGUUCUCAAAGCACUUGUACCUGGGUUGCUAAGCCACGUGACCACACAGGUGCAUGUUGGUAAUCAUUUGACUGCAACUUCUUGCAACUGUGGCAGGUCUUAAGAAGAAGGUGUCCAUGGUGUUAUAGGAAUCUUAAAUAGGGAAUUCAUCUUAGGCAGGGAGGUGAGAAGGCGAUACUUGAGCUGAGUAGAAGGCCAGGAAGAAUGAAAAGGAAGAGGAGAGGGAAAGCAUUCUGGUCAAAAGAACCAAAGGAGGCAAGUGCCUGGGGCUGGAGUGCAAAGAAUGGUGAGGUUGGCACCAUGCACAGCCUGCUGGGCCUCACUGAGUUUUCUGGGCUUAACUUAGGAGCAAUAAAAAUCUCCCAAAGAGCUUUGUGUAGGGAAUUGGUAUGAGUAGGUUGGAACGAUCACUAAUGUUGGAAACUGAAAGACAGUUGUGUAAACCUAUUAGAGGGAAUUAUGAGUAUCUCGAGAAGAUUUAAUGGUGGCUUGGACAGGGUGGUGGUAGAAGUUGAUGGAGGGAAUUUUAUAGAUUUUAGGUUUAUUUGGGGGAUGAAAAUGAUAGGAGCUUGAAGAUGGUUUGUAUGGAAUUGGGGAGGAGGAAGCCAGGUUGAAAGGUGAGAAAGCCUUGAGAGAUUCCUAGAAUUCCACCUUGAAAGAUGGAUGAGAGGGGACGGGAGGGAGGGGGGUCACUGAGCUGGGGAACACUGGAAGGCACUGGGUACGUGGAAAGAUCAUGAGUUCUGUUUUGGGUGUUUGAUCUUGAGGCUGCCAUUGAGAAAUAUGAAAGAUGUUGAGGAGCAAUUUCGAUUCUUGGAUCUGGAGCUCAGAGAAGCCUGGAAUAGGUGUAACAGAAACCAUUAUUUUGUUUGGAGGAGGUCCUUAGAAACACCCUGAGAUGAGGGGUCAUGUACAAGUUACUUAUUAAGGCUGUGUUCCCCUGGGAGACUGGUCAGGGAGUGGGGAGUGGAGCAGGCGAAGGGAAGAAGCUGAGCACAGGGUUAUCUCAGGGUAAGGUGUUA